RNAcentral lists this ribosomal RNA (384 nucleotides) under uncultured eukaryote. RNAcentral describes it as "partial 18S ribosomal RNA". It matches the Rfam family "Eukaryotic small subunit ribosomal RNA", at positions 592 to 976 of the family's 1831-position model. The record is from RNAcentral.
CAAUAGCGUAUAUUAAAGUUGUUGCAGUUAAAAAGCUCGUAGUUGGAUUUCUGGUGGGAGCGACCGGUCGGCGCUUAACGGCGUGUACACUGGAGUUGUCUCUUGCCAUCCUUGAGGAGAACGUGUCUGGCAUUAAGUUGUCGGGCUUGGGAUCCUCAUCGUUUACUGUGAAAAAAUUAGAGUGUUUAAAGCAGGCAUUUGCUGUGAAUACAUUAGCAUGGAAUAAUAAGAUAGGACUUUGGUGCUAUUUUGUUGGUUUGCGUACCAAGGUAAUGAUUAAUAGGGAUAGUUGGGGGUAUUCGUAUUCAAUUGUCAGAGGUGAAAUUCUUGGAUUUAUGGAAGACGAACAACUGCGAAAGCAUUUACCAAGGAUGUUUUCAUUAA